Molecule: ribosomal RNA, 466 nt
Filed under: uncultured bacterium
Lineage: Bacteria
Description: partial 16S ribosomal RNA
Rfam family: Bacterial small subunit ribosomal RNA
Source: RNAcentral
GACGAACGCUGGCGGCGUGCUUAACACAUGCAAGUCGAACGGUAAGGCUCCAGCUUGCUGGGGUACACGAGUGGCGAACGGGUGAGUAACACGUGGGUGACCUGCCCUGCACUUCGGGAUAAGCCUGGGAAACUGGGUCUAAUACCGGAUAGGACCAUGGUGUGGAUACUGUGGUGGAAAGUUUUUUCGGUGUGGGAUGGGUCCGCGGCCUAUCCGCUUGUUGGUGGGGUAAUGGCCUACCAAGGCGGCGCCGGGUAGCCGGCCUGAGAGGGUGGACGGCCACAUUGGGACUGAGACACGGCCCAGACGCCUACGGGAGGCAGCAGUGGGGAAUAUUGCACAAUGGGCGGAAGCCUGAUGCAGCGACGCCGCGUGGGGGAUGACGGCCUUCGGGUUGUAAACGCCUUUCACCAUCGACGAAGGGUUUCUGACGGUAGAUGGAGAAGAAGCACCGGCUAACUACGUG